RNAcentral lists this ribosomal RNA (253 nucleotides) under uncultured bacterium. Its description in RNAcentral is "partial 16S ribosomal RNA". It matches the Rfam family "Bacterial small subunit ribosomal RNA", at positions 524 to 776 of the family's 1533-position model. The record is from RNAcentral.
UACGUAGGGGGCAAGCGUUGUCCGGAUUUACUGGGCGUAAAGCGCGCGUAGGCGGAUCUGCAAGUCGGGGGUGAAAUCCCGAGGCUCAACCUCGGAACUGCCUUCGAUACUGCGGGUCUCGAGUCCGGGAGAGGUGAGUGGAAUUCCUAGUGUAGAGGUGAAAUUCGUAGAUAUUAGGAAGAACACCAGUGGCGAAGGCGGCUCACUGGCCCGGUACUGACGCUGAGGCGCGAAAGCGUGGGGAGCAAACAGG